UGGGGAAUAUUGCACAAUGGGCGCAAGCCUGAUGCAGCCAUGCCGCGUGUAUGAAGAAGGCCUUCGGGUUGUAAAGUACUUUCAGUCGGGAGGAAGGUGUCAAGGUUAAUAACCUUGGCAAUUGACGUUACCGACAGAAGAAGCACCGGCUAACUCCGUGCCAGCAGCCGCGGUAAUACGGAGGGUGCAAGCGUUAAUCGGAAUUACUGGGCGUAAAGCGCACGCAGGCGGUUGAUUGAGUCAGAUGUGAAAUCCCCGGGCUUAACCCGGGAAUUGCAUCUGAUACUGGUCAGCUAGAGUCUUGUAGAGGCGGGUAGAAUUCCAUGUGUAGCGGUGAAAUGCGUAGAGAUGUGGAGGAAUACCGGUGGCGAAGGCGGCCCCCUGGACAAAGACUGACGCUCAGGUGCGAAAGCGUGGGGAGCAAACAGG
This 429-nucleotide ribosomal RNA is filed under the name Chloroflexota bacterium. RNAcentral describes it as "Chloroflexi bacterium partial 16S ribosomal RNA". It matches the Rfam family "Bacterial small subunit ribosomal RNA", at positions 355 to 776 of the family's 1533-position model. The record is from RNAcentral. Lineage: Bacteria; Bacillati; Chloroflexota.